UUUCUCCGCGCGCGCCUGUUUCCUCUCCGCGAUUUUUUUCUCCUCUGUGCCCUAACCGCGACAGUUCCUCCUCCCCCUCGCGACAAAUCCCCACAGCCACAUCUUCUUCCUUCUCCUCUCCUCUGCUGCCAUCACAGCGACGCCGCACCCGUCGGUGCCCUAGCGCCGGUCAUCGCGUGCCCUAGCCGAGCUCGCCGACGCCGCUGCCCUCUUUGGAACGGAGCAGCGCCAGCCGUGCCCUAAUUGGGUUGUGCCUCCGCCGAGAUUUCUUCGCCGCCACCGACCUAGUAUUGCCGCCGGCCUUCCUCCGCCCUACAGCCGACUUCCACCGGUGUCUUAGCCUCCAGCCACCGUGCCCUAGGUCUUUCACCGACACGUCUCUGCUCGGGUGGUUUCCGGCCAGGAGCAAGGGGGGUCAAGUUUUAGUUCUUCCUGCUUGGUCCGAUUGUUAACAGCAAGUGGGAAGGAUUUCAGCAGGGGGAUUUGGUUUCGUGGGGACUUCGUUUGGUUCUAGCAGCACUCCAGUGAGCAGUUCCCUUUGUUCCAACAUUACGAGGGGCUGUGAAUUGAGGACCUUGACGCGAGACGGUAUCUCGACGUCGGAUUGGACAUUUUUUAUUUGGAGGCGGGU
This is a long non-coding RNA of Zingiber officinale, 631 nucleotides long. RefSeq lists it as uncharacterized. The record is from RefSeq and is a predicted model, not a curated record. The transcript has 3 exons. Lineage: Eukaryota; Viridiplantae; Streptophyta; Magnoliopsida; Zingiberales; Zingiberaceae.